GGGCACUCCACUGCAAUCUCCAUGCUGGGAAGACUUUAUCAAAUCCUCUCCAGUACUCCCUCCCCCCACAACCACUAGCAGUGGAGUCUGGACCACUGGGGAGUGAUUUAGCCAGCUCUCCAGUAGAGAUCAUAAAAUGUACCCUGUACUGGGGUUUGCAGUUUCUUUAUUAUGCUAAAUGGACAAGGGCAGCCAGGGCAGACUUUAAACUCUUUCCCCUGGUGGUCCCAGACUGGAUUUCAGCGCAAGGGCUGAUGGGUGUUCAGAAGAGCAAGGCUGGGUAAAGGCUCUCCAUAGCUGUCCAGCAGUUUGGCUUACUCAAUUUUAUUUUCAUAGGCAUUUUUUUUUUAACUUGGAAGAAAAGUGUUGACUUAGAAGGACUGCUGAAUACCUGUCAGUCAAACUGCCCCCACAAGGUCUUUCCAGUGCCAGACUGUAUUUGCUGGCCAGAGAUGCCUCAGGCCAGAGGCUCUCCAGCCUGGCGCUGCUACAAGGACGGCGGCUCCUGCACCCAGUGCAGCUCAGGCCUCCCUGACGCCAAAGUAGACUCUGAAAUGAUACGUUUGUUCUGCUUUUACUGCUGCAUUUAAAAAAAAAAAAAUUGCAACACUAGAAUGAAUGGAUUAUGAGUAAAUAAAAAGAAACUGUCAGUCUCUUUGAAGGUUGUGCUUAAAGGGACUUGCCAAGUCAGGGCACAAGAGUGACAAGAUAGAGACCCUGGUGUUUUGCAUGCUCAGCUCGGCUCUUCCGCUUCAUCUGCACCGCACUAAAGGAUGUGUUGAUGCAUUGAAUCACAAAAAAAGUGGCACGCAAAAUAAAAGGUGCCACAUCACAAUGAUUGUAGUGUUUUAACUACGAAUUGCCACAUCACCCAAUCCAAGGAAAUGCAGGUCUACACAGGCAAAGAAAACGAUACAACACUUCCAUAACUUAUAAUUAAGUUGAAGUCUGCCUAACAUUUGACUUUCUAAUGAGUGUAAUGAGAUUACAUGCCUGAUGGAAGCAUUUGUGCAAAAGCAACUUUCGUGUUUAAUGAG
RNAcentral lists this long non-coding RNA (1037 nucleotides) under Marmota monax (woodchuck). The record is from RNAcentral. Lineage: Eukaryota; Metazoa; Chordata; Mammalia; Rodentia; Sciuridae.